Molecule: ribosomal RNA, 791 nt
Filed under: uncultured bacterium
Lineage: Bacteria
Description: bacterial SSU rRNA
Rfam family: Bacterial small subunit ribosomal RNA
Source: RNAcentral
AGAGUUUGAUCAUGGCUCAGAUUGAACGCUGGCGGCAUGCCUUACACAUGCAAGUCGAACGGCAGCGCGGGGCAACCUGGCGGCGAGUGGCGAACGGGUGAGUAAUAUAUCGGAACGUACCCUGGAGUGGGGGAUAACGUAGCGAAAGUUACGCUAAUACCGCAUACGAUCUAAGGAUGAAAGUGGGGGAUCGCAAGACCUCAUGCUCCUGGAGCGGCCGAUAUCUGAUUAGCUAGUUGGUGGGGUAAAGGCCUACCAAGGCAUCGAUCAGUAGCUGGUCUGAGAGGACGACCAGCCACACUGGAACUGAGACACGGUCCAGACUCCUACGGGAGGCAGCAGUGGGGAAUUUUGGACAAUGGGCGCAAGCCUGAUCCAGCAAUGCCGCGUGAGUGAAGAAGGCCUUCGGGUUGUAAAGCUCUUUUGUCAGGGAAGAAACGGCCUGUUCUAAUACAGCGGGCUAAUGACGGUACCUGAAGAAUAAGCACCGGCUAACUACGUGCCAGCAGCCGCGGUAAUACGUAGGGUGCAAGCGUUAAUCGGAAUUACUGGGCGUAAAGCGUGCGCAGGCGGUUUUGUAAGACUGUCGUGAAAUCCCCGGGCUCAACCUGGGAAUGGCGAUGGUGACUGCAAGGCUAGAGUUUGGCAGAGGGGGGUAGAAUUCCACGUGUAGCAGUGAAAUGCGUAGAUAUGUGGAGGAACACCGAUGGCGAAGGCAGCCCCCUGGGUCAAAACUGACGCUCAUGCACGAAAGCGUGGGGAGCAAACAGGAUUAGAUACCCUAGUAGUCC